Non-coding RNA from Anas platyrhynchos (mallard), 302 nucleotides. The record is from RefSeq and is a predicted model, not a curated record. NCBI's taxonomy places the organism in Eukaryota, Metazoa, Chordata, Aves, Anseriformes, Anatidae.
UGUGAGUCAUUUCAGUUCAUUUUCCCAUCUUUAUAUCAGUGGAAGUCCAUGGAAUAGAUGGUUUUAUGUACUGAUAAAGGCAUCCACCUGAUUUACAAUGCUUUUUGAAAUCAGGAAGCUACACUUUGCUUCUGGGGUGAUGAACAACCUUCUUCCUUCAACCCUUUUUACCCCUAUAUGUACUGGGGAGAAAAGAAAGAAUUUGGACUUGAUCUAGUACUGUGGGCCACUAAACUUCUGUUUUCUGAAAGACCUUAAGAGCUAUGAAUGGCUUGAGUACAUUUCAGUGUGUACAUAAUUAC